Molecule: small nuclear RNA, 103 nt
Organism: Mesoplodon densirostris (Blainville's beaked whale)
Lineage: Eukaryota; Metazoa; Chordata; Mammalia; Artiodactyla; Ziphiidae
Source: RefSeq, a predicted model, not a curated record
GUCUCAGAUGUGGCAUAUAUAUAAAACUGGAAUGAUACAGAGAUGAUAAGCAUGGCCCCUGUGCAAGGAUGACAUGCAAAGUCAUGGAACAUUUCAUAUUUAA